AAACCCAUUGAUAUUGGUAAUAUGAUACGGGUAACAGUGACAGUAGAACAGAAUACAAAAUCACACGACUGGAUAUCACCUGACACGGAUAACUAAGAUUGAGUUUCAAUGCUUGAGCAAACAACGAAAGAAUUUAUCAAAAGUGACAAACAUGGCUUCCAAUAUGGAGAGUUCAAUCAAUAAAGGAUGUGACUAUAUUUUUGACUUUAAUUGUUUCACCUGUCAGGAAACUGACAGAAAUACAGAGGCUGAAUUUUACUGUGAGGAGUAUUCUAAAUUUUACUGUAACAAAUGUGUGGAGUAUCAUAACUAUCUUUUCAAGAAGCAUGCAAUUUUGAGCAAGAAAAACAUCAGCCAGUGGCCUGAGACUGAUGUGGUUGAACAAUAGAAAUGUAAGGAGCACAGGAAAGAAAAACUGACCAUAUUAUGUGAGGACCACAGUCAGCUGAUUUGUCAUGUCUGCCAUGUCCACAAUCAUCAGAAAUGCAGUCAUGUGGUACUAAUAGCUGACAAAGAAAAAGACCUUCACCAAAAAGGAGACUUUAAGCAGUUGUCAGCAUCGUUUGAUACACAAUACCAGGUGUUGAUACGUAAAAAAGAUGACUUGGAGGAAAAUAUGAAGUAUCUGGAGAAAUCGCACAAGAAAAUAAUGGAAGAAAUCAAUGCUUUACGAAAGAAAAUUAAUGAUUCUUUGGAUCAACUGGAGAAAAAUACCAAGAGGGAGUUGGACACAUUUCUAAUCAAUAUGAGGACAUCAAUUCAAACUGACAUCAAAAAAAUGCACUGAGUCAAUCAAGAAUAUAGCACGCUUAAAAGAAGAUUGGCUGGGAAGAAAAGAACUUAAUGAAGUGCAGAGUUUAAUCAAGUAUAGAAGAUGCCUUGACCAGUCCCUCAAGGUAGAAGACAUUUUACAAGAAAUGACAAAAAAGAAUGAGAUGACACUAACCUUUAAUCCUGAUACAACUAUCAAAUAAACCUUGUCCACUCUCUCAGGAUUAGGACAUAUUCUGAGCAUAGUGAAACAAUCACAUCUGGCUAAAAUUACUAAACAGAACACAGUUACCAGACAUAAUAAGCCUAAAGCAUCCAGCCAGUCUGCCUCUGGAAACCAAACAGCUCAAGAAUUCAAAGUAAACAAGUCCAAUCCAGAAUCCAGUUCAUCCAGACAGUACAGCCCUGGAAACAAAACAAGUGAUCUGACCAAGACAGGCCAGGGGUCUGAUCAAGUAUCAAGUCCAUCACACCAGCUGGUCCAGGGCCAUAAAAUAGGGGCAGUAAACAAGCCUGAUCAAAUCAUAAAAGUGAAGAGUAGUAAGAAGUACAGUGUGAAUAUUAAGGGUGCUGAACACAAAUGCAUUAUACGCGGUAUUUGUGAGACAGGUUCUGGAGAAUUCCUCAUCAUAGAUGAGGCAAACUAUAAAGUGAAGCUCCUGGAUCAGACCUACAAGGUGGUGGCCCACUUGGAUUUGCCUGGGCAACAAGUGUCCAUGUGCAGCAUUGAUGACAGUCUGGUGGCUGUCACUAUGUAUAAAAAGCAGGUCCACUUCAUCAGAGUGUCCAAUAGACAGUUGAUAAAGGACAGGAUACUGGAACUCCAACAUGGUUGCAGGGGUAUUGCCCAUCAGCAUAGUAACAUGUACAUUACAGAUGGUACAACUCUGUAUCUCUAUACUAUGGAAGGGAGGCUGGUGACCAAGAUGUAUGAUGUUGGUGAAUUAUGUUGGGACACAGGUAAUAAUUAUCACUAGCAUUAUUCUAAUUUUCUUAACUUAUAAGACCCGUGCUUCUAUGGUAAUUGAAGUCAACAGAUAGUAAGCUUCACAUACCAAUAACCUUAUGAAACAAAUGCAUGUUUUGUAAAUAAUAAUCUAAAAACGUUGAACCAUUAAAAUAAUGUAGUUUUUAUUCUGAUUCCCAAAUACAGUUUAAUUGAGUAUUUUUUAUUAUCAGUUUUUAUAACGAUAUUAUGAAGUUAGACAAUGAUGUCUUAGAUAAUGACAUGUAUUCACAAACUAAAGAACUUAACCAAUGUAUCAAAAUAGAAAAUAACCAUCCAUGUAUAUCCAAUUCACAAUACAUCUGAUCUUAAUAGUUUACAUUUACUGUCCUUUAUGUAAACAGUGUUAUUUAUUAAUAUUAUUAAACAAUACGUACGGUAGACUUACUACUUUUUAUAUCAUAUCAUUUGUUUACAUAUAGUAACAACCUUUCAUUCUCACUGUCUUCCAUACCACAGUUACCUCCUGUGCAGUGAGUCCAGAUGGAGACAGGAUAUACAUGUUUGUGACCAACGCGGCCAGUAACCAGCUGGUCACUCUGUCCAGGGAUGGCACAGUGAUUUCCACCCUGACUGUACCUGGACUGGACUCACCAGUACAAGUACCUGGCCUCCAUGUGACAAUGACAAAUUCAGGACAAGUUCUUGUGUGUGGAUUCAUGUCCCACACAAUCUACCAGGUGGACAGGGAUGGGAGACAGCGCCUGGCAGUGGUGGUCACACAGAAAGAUGGUGUGGCUAUACCUACAUCUGUCUACUACAGUACAAACACAGGCUCGCUUAUUGUAGGAAUGUUAUACACUAAUGACAUUAUAGUGUUUUAUUCACAGUGACUAUUGGAGUUGGACUAUGUUUGUUUUUAACCAUUUAUACAGUAUAUGUAUCUUUAUCAUUAAAAACAAUUUUACAGUUUUGUAUACACUGUAUAUAAUACGCAGUGACAUGAAACCUGUCUUGAAAAAAACGAUAUCAUUAUGAAAUUCGAUUUGAAAUAUUCUCACGUGUUAUUUGCAAAAACACCAUAAUUGGUUCAAUCAAAACAAGGUUUUAAAGGUUUGUAUAAACAUUUAAUAACAGUGAGUCUAUUCACAUGAUUUCAUUUGAGAGAAUGCGUUAACUUAUUGUUUGUAAAUAUUAUCUUAUGAUAUUGUU
Long non-coding RNA from Dreissena polymorpha, 2929 nucleotides. RefSeq lists it as uncharacterized. The transcript has 2 exons. The record is from RefSeq and is a predicted model, not a curated record. NCBI's taxonomy places the organism in Eukaryota, Metazoa, Mollusca, Bivalvia, Myida, Dreissenidae.